UGGGGAAUAUUGCACAAUGGGCGAAAGCCUGAUGCAGCAACGCCGCGUGAGUGAUGAAGGUCUUCGGAUUGUAAAGCUCUGUCUUUUGGGACGAUAAUGACGGUACCAAAGGAGGAAGCCACGGCUAACUACGUGCCAGCAGCCGCGGUAAUACGUAGGUGGCGAGCGUUGUCCGGAUUUACUGGGCGUAAAGGGUGCGUAGGCGGAUGUUUAAGUGAGAUGUGAAAUACCCGGGCUUAACUCGGGUGCUGCAUUUCAAACUGGAUAUCUAGAGUGCAGGAGAGGAGAAUGGAAUUCCUAGUGUAGCGGUGAAAUGCGUAGAGAUUAGGAAGAACACCAGUGGCGAAGGCGAUUCUCUGGACUGUAACUGACGCUGAGGCACGAAAGCGUGGGUAGCAAACAGGAUUAGAUACCCUGGUAGUCCACGCCGUAAACGAUGAGUACUAGGUGUAGGAGGUAUCGACCCCUUCUGUGCCGCAGUAAACACAUUAAGUACUCCGCCUGGGAAGUACGAUCGCAAGAUUAAAAC
This 529-nucleotide ribosomal RNA is filed under the name uncultured bacterium. RNAcentral's name for it is "partial 16S ribosomal RNA". It matches the Rfam family "Bacterial small subunit ribosomal RNA", at positions 355 to 900 of the family's 1533-position model. The record is from RNAcentral.